GUAGGGAGCAAGCGUUGUUCGGAAUCAUUGGGCGUAAAGAGCGCGUAGGUGGCUUGGUAAGUCUGUUGUGAAAGCCCACAGCUCAACUGUGGAACUGCGACAGAAACUGCCUGGCUAGAGUGCGGGAGAGGAAAGUGGAAUUCCCAGUGUAGAGGUGAAAUUCGUAGAUACUGGGAGGAACACCGGUGGCGAAGGCGGCUUUCUGGACCGCAACUGACGCUGAGGCGCGAAAGCUAGGGGAGCGAACGGGGGAUUAGAUACCCCGGUAGUCCUAGCCGUAAACGAUGGGCACUAGGUGUAGGGGGUAUCGACCCCUUCUGUGCCCGUAGCUAACGCAUUAAGUGCCCCGCCUGGGGGAGUACGGUCGCAAGACUA
Molecule: ribosomal RNA, 375 nt
Filed under: uncultured organism
Description: partial 16S ribosomal RNA
Rfam family: Bacterial small subunit ribosomal RNA
Source: RNAcentral